CGUGAAAUCGCUGGGUGUUUGUGCAAUGCUAAGUGCAGCAAAUAUGUUCUCAAAAACGAAAACUGCGUCGUUUGGUUUUAAAUUACUUUCAAACAGCCAUUGAAACUUAAUUAAUAACGAAUGGGGCUGAAACCAUCUUAGAAUAUGGCCUUGGGUACUAUGAAGAAAUUUUAAAAGGGAUUAUGUACAUGAAGAAAAACGUGUGCUAUGGAAAUAAUCUAGAUAGUAUGGUCAUGGAAUACUUCAUGUACCAAGAGCCCCAAAAACUCCAAUGAACAUUAUUACAAUGGAGACAAACACCUAAAGCGGAUGGUCGCACUAACCACACUACAUUGCAGUGUAACUCGUUAAUGGCCCAACCAACCCCAAUGAAGAUGAUUGACUACUGAAUAGCAAUGAAGACAAUCACUUAAAGCUCAUGGUUUCAUGAACAUCACGUUACAACACGAUUAUCCCAACCGUCUAACCACCCUCCCAAUCAAGAGCUGUGGAAACCGAUAUCGAACAAGACCCAAUGACUUACAAAGAUGGAAAAGUAAUCCAGCAAUUGGUUAAAAUCAUCAAUUAAAAAGAAAAGAAAGAUCAAUGGCAAACAAAUGAGCAUAAAUCAAAAGAUGAGUAUAGAAUAGUUGAACAACACAGGAAAACAGACGAUUGUGGUAUUAGUUUUCUUUCAAGACAGUAAGUUAACAUUGCUUUGUGUUGUUCACUAUGUAAUAAGAAAUGAUCAGUUAUAUUGGUUGUUCUGUAUUCGUUAGGUUUAUCAAUUUAUAUUGAAUCUCUUAAAUCUCUAGAAAAAUGCUGUUCAUUCGAAAAUAUAUAGUGUUAGUUAGAAGACCGUCUUUUUGUA
This is a long non-coding RNA of Agrilus planipennis (emerald ash borer), 850 nucleotides long. RefSeq lists it as uncharacterized. Lineage: Eukaryota; Metazoa; Arthropoda; Insecta; Coleoptera; Buprestidae. The record is from RefSeq and is a predicted model, not a curated record. The transcript is spliced from 8 exons.